UGCGCAGGCGGUUAUAUAAGACAGAUGUGAAAUCCCCGGGCUCAACCUGGGACCUGCAUUUGUGACUGUAUAGCUAGAGUACGGUAGAGGGGGAUGGAAUUCCGCGUGUAGCAGUGAAAUGCGUAGAUAUGCGGAGGAACACCGAUGGCGAAGGCAAUCCCCUGGACCUGUACUGACGCUCAUGCACGAAAGCGUGGGGAGCAAACAGGAUUAGAUACCCUGGUAGUCCACGCCCUAAACGAUGUCAACUGGUUGUUGGGUCUUCACUGACUCAGUAACGAAGCUAACGCGUGAAGUUGACCGCCGUGGGGAGUACGGCCGCAAGGUUGAA
Molecule: ribosomal RNA, 331 nt
Filed under: uncultured bacterium
Lineage: Bacteria
Description: bacterial SSU rRNA
Rfam family: Bacterial small subunit ribosomal RNA
Source: RNAcentral